UACGUAGGGGGCUAGCGUUGUCCGGAAUCAUUGGGCGUAAAGAGCGUGUAGGCGGCCCGGUAAGUCCGCUGUGAAAGUCGGGGGCUCAACCCUCGAAUGCCGGUGGAUACUGUCGGGCUAGAGUGCGGAAGAGGCGAGUGGAAUUCCUGGUGUAGCGGUGAAAUGCGCAGAUAUCAGGAGGAACACCAAUUGCGAAGGCAGCUCGCUGGGACGUAACUGACGCUGAGACGCGAAAGCGUGGGAGCAAACAGG
This 252-nucleotide ribosomal RNA is filed under the name uncultured bacterium. RNAcentral describes it as "partial 16S ribosomal RNA". It matches the Rfam family "Bacterial small subunit ribosomal RNA", at positions 524 to 776 of the family's 1533-position model. The record is from RNAcentral.